RNAcentral lists this ribosomal RNA (2483 nucleotides) under Hydra vulgaris (swiftwater hydra). RNAcentral's name for it is "eukaryotic LSU rRNA". The stretch from base 1334 to 2483 matches the Rfam family "Eukaryotic large subunit ribosomal RNA", at positions 1890 to 3027 of the family's 3401-position model. Lineage: Eukaryota; Metazoa; Cnidaria; Hydrozoa; Anthoathecata; Hydridae. The record is from RNAcentral.
AAGUAAAAUUAUAGCGAAUGGGUUUAAAAGAAAGUUAACGCGAAAGGUUGCUAAGUAUAAAUUUUUUAUUUUUAUGUCUAGUUUUAAACGAGUUUUUGAUUUAAUUAAAUUAAUUUACUUUUUUGAAUGAAUGUUAAUUUUGCAUUCAUUUUAUGUUUUAUCCUAAACGAAAUUCUUUUAGAUCUUAAAACGCAAAAAUGAACUCAAAACCUCUAAACAAUUUUGAGUUAAAAUCUUUUAAUUAUUUUCCAACAAAUGAAUUUUUUACAAAGAAACUGUUCCCGAUUCAAUUAAUCUAAGCAAAGCAGGUACUUUGUUAAGCCAUUGCUCGUACUAUUAUAACAAUGAACUAAAGGAAUUUCUUAAACGAGAUCAUUUAAAUGUUAUACAUAUGUAUUAUGUAUACAAAAUUCUUUUCUAUACUUCUUAUGUUAAAAUGUACAUAUUAACAUAAGAAGUUUAGAAAAGAAUUUUGAAAAUUUUAGAAUUGAUAUUGAUGAAAGUUUAAAUAUUUUUAACAUUAUAUGCGUAACUGAAACUUGGUGUAGUUCAAAGGGAUAUUUAUUUAACAAAAUAAUUUCUAGAAACGAAUCGCUAAUAAACUUAAACAACGAACAGUCCCUGAAAACAAAGUUAAAAUCUACAAUAAUCAAGUUAAACAACUACAAGGAGUUUUUUUAAACUCCAAUGUAAAGUUUAAAAAUAAAAAUAAUAUAAAACAACCCUAAUAAAACCAAAAAUGUAACUUUUCAAAAGAAACAAUAAAAAUAAUACUAAAAGGAGAUAGUAACAUUAAUAAUUUUAAGGCAUAUAUGUACCACAUACAUAUUUACCACGUAUGCAACUAAUUUUUAUGUGUAUUACACGUCUUGAAGAUACUCGAUGACAAGACUGACCCCAGUCUUUUGCGAGCUUUCUAUAACUACAAACAAUUAAUUAUUUUCUUCAAUCUUAUGCAAAUCUUGUUUUUAUCAUACUUUUAUAUAUACAUAUAUAUUUUAUUUUAAUUGAAAGAAUAUAGAAGGUUUAUUUCUUGGGUAAUUUUUACGUUCACGUUAUUCUAUUGUGUACUUUGUAUUUAUUUUUAUCAUGUCUCAAAGUUGAAUGUAACAAUAUUUUAGAUUUAUCCCUUAUUUAUUUUGGACUUUAUGUUUACGAUAUUUAUAUUUGUAUAUCGUUAUUCGCCAAUCGGUGAUUGGUCAAUUGUAAAUACUUUGUAGUUGUAAAAAAAACAUGUUGAAAAAAAAUAAUAAUAAUAAGAAAAAAAAACUUUUUAAAAUUAAGUUCGUACUCAUAACCACAGCAGGUCUCCUAGGUGAGCAGCCUUUGGUCCAUAGAACAAUGUAGGUAAGGGAAGUCGGCAAAAUAGAUCCGUAACUUCGGGAAAAGGAUUGGCUCUAAGGAUUGGGUCUGUCAGGCUGAGACUUAAAGCGAGUGGCACCAACCUGGGCUAGCUCGCGGCUCACGUCGCAGGGGGCUGUGGGUUGGAAUGGGAAGGAACCGCUCGUGGAUUGGUGCAGCUUUGCUUGUGAGAGCAGUUUGGAAGGCGAUUGACAAUCAACUGAGACCUGGUACGGACAAGGGGAAUCUGACUGCUUAAUUAAAACAAAACAUUGCGAUUGCCGGAAACGGUGUUGACACAAUGUGGUUUCUGCCCAGUGCUCUGAAUGUCAAAGUGAAGAAAUUUAACCAAGCGCGGGUAAACGACGGUAGUAAUUAUGAUUCUCUUAAGUCAUAUAAUAUUAUGAUUCUCGUCAUCUAAUUAGUGACACGGAUAAAUUGAUUAACGAGAUUCCCACUAGCCCUAUCUACUAUCUAGCAAAACCACAGCCAAGGGAACGAACGGUCUUGGCAAAAUCAGAGGGGAAAGAACACCCUGUUGAGCUUGACUCUAGCCUGACUCUGUGAAAAGACAUAGGAGGUGUAGGAUAGGUGGGAGGCAACAAUGUCGAAAAUGAAAUACCGCUACUCUUAUUGUUUUUUUACUUAUUCGGUUGAGCGGAGGCGGACUUCACGGCCCACUUUCUAGAAUUAAGGUCCCGUCGGCAGGUCGAUCCGUGUCGAAGACACUGUCAGGUUGGGAGUUUGGCUGGGGCGGCACAUCUGUCAAAUAAUAUAGCAGGUGUCCUAAGGUGAGCUCAAUGAGAACAGAAAUCUCAUGUAGAACAAAAAGGUAAAAGCUCACUUGAUUUUGAUUUUCAGUAUGAAUACAAGUUGUGAAAGCAUGGCCUAUUGAUCCUUUAGUAUUUAAGCUAGAGGUGUCAAAAAAGUUACCACAGGGAUAACUGGCUUGUGGCAGCCAAGCGUUCAUAGCAACAUUACUUUUUGAUCCUUCAAUGUCGGCUCUUCCUAUCAUUAUGAAGCAGAAUUCACCAAGUGUUGGAUUGUUCACACACUAAUAGGGAACGUGAGCUGGGUUUAGACCGUCGUGAGACAGGUUAGUUUUACCCUACUGAUGAAGUGUUGUUGCAAUAGUAUUUCUA